AUGAGUUCUCCGGCCAAGCCUCGCCGCGAGAUUACGGAGGUGGUGCAUCUGUUUGUUGAUUUCCGGCGAUUGUGAGACAUCUUCGUGGAGAGGAAAAGGAACAAGAAAAGGCUUACUCAGUUGGUUCUAUUGAAGAAGCAGCAUACAAAAACAGAGUCCAAGUUCUUAGUAUGUCUCCAAACUUGUCACCAGGGUUUGCAACCGCAGGCUUCAACAGGUACUAUUGUUCACAAUCAACUUGUGGAAAUUCAAAUAUUAUGGCAUUGCAUGUAAGUAUUAAAAGUU
This is a long non-coding RNA of Camelina sativa (false flax), 285 nucleotides long. RefSeq lists it as uncharacterized. NCBI's taxonomy places the organism in Eukaryota, Viridiplantae, Streptophyta, Magnoliopsida, Brassicales, Brassicaceae. The record is from RefSeq and is a predicted model, not a curated record.